GAGGAGGUGAUGAAUUUUUCCCCAAAUGAUUCGACGUUGAAAUAAGUGCCCUUGUAUUUCUCUUUUGAGGAAAUUCAAGCCAAAAUUUUGAUCCAU
Molecule: small nucleolar RNA, 96 nt
Organism: Salvia miltiorrhiza (redroot sage)
Lineage: Eukaryota; Viridiplantae; Streptophyta; Magnoliopsida; Lamiales; Lamiaceae
Product: small nucleolar RNA Z103
Exons: 1
Source: RefSeq, a predicted model, not a curated record